UCCGGUUUGUCACCGGCAGUCCCAUUAGAGUGCCCAACUAAAUGUAGCAACUAAUGACAAGGGUUGCGCUCGUUGCGGGACUUAACCCAACAUCUCACGACACGAGCUGACGACAGCCAUGCAGCACCUGUGUUACGGUUCUCUUUCGAGCACAAUCUGAUCUCUCAAAUCUUCCGUACAUGUCAAGGGUAGGUAAGGUUUUUCGCGUUGCAUCGAAUUAAACCACACGCUCCGCUGCUUGUGCGGGCCCCCGCCUAUUCCUUUGAGUUUUAAUCUUGCGACCGUACUCCCCAGGCGGGAUGUUUAAUGCGUUAGCUGCGCCACCAACGAGCAAGCUCGCUGACGGCUAACAUCCAUCGUUUACGGCGUGGACUAC
This 376-nucleotide unclassified non-coding RNA is filed under the name uncultured Pseudomonadota bacterium. RNAcentral's name for it is "uncultured proteobacterium contains 16S-23S intergenic spacer region". Lineage: Bacteria; Pseudomonadati; Pseudomonadota. The record is from RNAcentral.